Hippoglossus stenolepis (Pacific halibut) is the source of this 1723-nucleotide long non-coding RNA. RefSeq lists it as uncharacterized. NCBI's taxonomy places the organism in Eukaryota, Metazoa, Chordata, Actinopteri, Pleuronectiformes, Pleuronectidae. The record is from RefSeq and is a predicted model, not a curated record. The transcript is spliced from 4 exons.
AAAUGCACAUCUUUUCUGAAUUGUUUCUUCUGUAAAAUAAAUGUUUUUCAUAUCUUUAUACGUAAACACAUUCUUUUAACUAAACUUGAUGUGCGUCAUAUAAAUAGACAAAAAUGAUCUAAGAAGAGAAAUAAAAGUGCCAGUGAAAGUUUUGAAAAGAUGAAACAUAGCAUUACGUAAAUGUUGGAAAACAACUAUUCCUCAGUGAGGCUGCGAAUCUAGCUUUUCCUCUGCAGAACCUGUCUCUUACCUGAGGUUCAUCCCAAAGAGCCAUGAUCUUCCCGACAUCAUGAAUCAGACCCACCAAGUGGAACCAGUCUGGAGGAGGGACAGUGAAUAUUAAUACAGUUAUUUACCAAAAAUGCUUGUACAACGAGUAUUUGUGUGUUUGUCUGUCUCUCCCUGUGUGGUACCUUUGUCAGGGUGGGCUUCGCGGAUGCCUUCUGCGGUCUGGAAGGCGUGAAAGGAGUUGGGGAAGUCCACGUCAGGGUCGGACUCAUCCACCACCUGGUCCAGGGACAUGACGGCGUCCAGUAUCCCCAUCUGACUGUGGGUGCAGCCGGUCCACUCACAGUGCUGCAGGGAGACAAGCAGACUUACUUGGCUUGGUCCAACAAUGAAAUCUGAUUGGCUGAUUGGAUUCGAAGAUGUGAGGACCCACCUGCUAAAAAGGCCGAGUCUUAACCCUGAAACAGCCUUUGAUUGAGAGUCAGAAACAGGAUGGGACGGACCGCUCUGGACCCAGGGUCUCCUCAGAAGGGUUAUCCGCACACAAGGAGCGAGUUCACCCAAAGGCUGGACCAUCCCGUACGUGGCUGCCCUCCAGGGGGGACCAGGAGAGGGACAUGAUCCAAUAAACCGCCAUAAGUAACCUGUGAAAUAUGUGAAAAUUUGCAAACUAGCAAGAGUGUUGUGGAUAUUUACAUUAGUCACACCUAGCCUGUCCAUGGAACAGAGGUGAAGUUGAUAGUGUCUAGUCUGCACAACAGAGGUGAACGUAAAAGGUAAAUUUUAAAAGGUACGCUGAGUUCUGGGAAUCUCCAGGGAUAAACUAGGCUUGUGUCUGCAAGGGAAAGAAAAUAUUGUUUUUCCUAUCGAAUCACUGUCAAUGUGUGUCAACCAAAAAGAUACUGAUAAAAUAAAAAGGACAGCACAUAAAAACUUAAAGUAAAGGGAGUUGAUUUGCAUCGUGGGUAAUGUAGGUUUUAUAUAAGGAAGAAUGUUUUACAUUAAAGUGGUUAAAAAACAUCAAACAUUACCUUAAGUCUGACACUUAAGGUUUAAUGUCUUAAUGUUUUUUUUAUUUGAUUGACACACUAUUAAUCUUGGCUAAAACUCAUACUCUCUCUCUCUCUCUCUCUCUCUCUCUCUCUCUCUCUCUCUUUAUCUCUCUCUUACUCUCUCUCACACACACACACACACACACAGGCAAAUGAGAGUAAAGAAAAGGUUGAGUGAAAAGUCCAAUGCCAUAGAAUUUGUCAAGGCCAACACAACAUUACAUACCUGCGUGUGUGUGGUAGCCAAGAUGAAUAAUCAUUAUCACUACAAUGUUGUGAGACCAAUUUUCCAGUCGUAAAUUCAGUGUACAUUAACAUAAAAUAGGUCACAUUUGCUAGAGCAAACAGAUAAAACACAUGUGAAAGUUUGACUGGGUUUUUAUUACACAAGGCUGCUAUUGUAUAAACAAAGAGAGAUGAACAGUAUCACAGGCGGUUCAGAG